This 30-nucleotide non-coding RNA is filed under the name Homo sapiens (human). The record is from RNAcentral. Lineage: Eukaryota; Metazoa; Chordata; Mammalia; Primates; Hominidae.
UGGUAUCAUUUUGAACAUUGGAAAGGCCUA